This 253-nucleotide long non-coding RNA is filed under the name Mytilus galloprovincialis (Mediterranean mussel). Lineage: Eukaryota; Metazoa; Mollusca; Bivalvia; Mytilida; Mytilidae. The record is from RNAcentral.
CAAUGAAUGUGUUUGUAGAUAGAUGUUUUUGUGUUCUGUUAAAUUGUCCCUUUUAAAAUUGUUAUACGAUGAUGACUGAUGUACCCAUAUUUUGACUAUUUUAUUUAUUGUGUCUAUUUAGUUUACGCAUCUAUGUAAAUAUAACGGAAUUUGACGAGACUGUCAUCAAAGUGAGAGGGUUAGCGCUAUAAAACCAGGUUUAAUCCACCAUUUUCUACAUUUGAAAAUGCCUGUACCUAGUCAGGAAUAUGAC